GAAGUUAAGGCUGUGGUUGACUGAGCACCUACUUGAAUCAGAACUGGAAUAUAAUAGCCUGCUUUGCUGGAAGGAAUACUGUUGCAGAUACAUUUCGGAGCRUGGAUCCUGAAAGCACAGAUGCUGUAAUGCACUAGAUUACAUUCAUAUUUGUUUAGGAGCCUUUAAUUUGCAUCACUGCUGGAAGAAUAGAAGAGUUUGGCCUAUAUGGUACCUUUUUGUAAUGAAAAGAUUUGAUGAAGCUGUUUCUUGUUUAAACCAAAAUGAAGAGUAUGUCCUAGGAUAUUGUGCAGCUCAUCAUUAACAGAACUAAAUGGCAAGUUACUGAAAAUAACCUUCAUAGUACUCUCUUUAUAGCAAGCUUUGCUUUGAAUGUCAUCUAGCAUUCCUAGCAAUAACAUCCUGUAUGCGUUUUGAUGUAAGAUAGCAGGGCUCAAUUGUGCUGAAUGACCUUUUGAAAAUAAUGAUUUACUGCUUAUUCAUGGUGCCCGUUGCUCUGAAAAUUACUGGUAUUUUUUUGUGAUGCUAUCUGGGAGCCUUCAAUAUUGCAUUGAUGUUCAGAGGUGUGCUGAAAAGUAUUUUAUGAGCUGUGUGAGAUUCCAAACUGGUAGUAGAUCAUAUAGGUAGRCUUGAAAAUAUUUUUUUUCUAAAAACAGAACUGUGGAAAAUCUUUUUUACUUAAUUGCCAAGACCAAAUUUCAAAUUUGAAUAUCUUCCUGAAUCAGCUAAUACUGCCAUCAGUUAAUGCUUCAUUUUCAAAAGGAAUAAGAUUUUCAAUCACUUUAAAGAAAGCCAAGUAAGUAUCUAUCAACUGAUAGAACUCAAUAUGGUAUGGAGACAAAAUAAAACAAAACCAAGUUUUCCUUAGGCCCCUCCUGAUGCACACAAGCCUGUAUUUAGAAGCAGCUAUUAUAACUGAAAAUUUGGGCUCCUGACUUCCAUCUGGAAUAGCAAUGUUUUUCAGCAAUGUAUUUUUCUUGAAAAUGCAAUAUUUAAAAGUGUUUUCCUUAUUUCUUGUUGCUGUUUUGUUCAUUUAGUUGCCACAUUUUUCCACUCUUGCUUUUUGCAGCAGGAAGAGUUAUAUGCUUCAUUUCAGAGAGGGUAGACUGAUUCAUCGAAUCAAAUGUUUGGAUUAGAAAUGACCCAUACAUUAAUUUUGCACUAAAGAUUUUGCUCCGGAUGUCAACUUUUCC
Molecule: long non-coding RNA, 1193 nt
Organism: Nothoprocta perdicaria
Lineage: Eukaryota; Metazoa; Chordata; Aves; Tinamiformes; Tinamidae
Exons: 3
Source: RefSeq, a predicted model, not a curated record